This 1394-nucleotide ribosomal RNA is filed under the name metagenome. Its description in RNAcentral is "bacterial LSU rRNA". It matches the Rfam family "Bacterial large subunit ribosomal RNA", at positions 751 to 2139 of the family's 2925-position model. The record is from RNAcentral.
UUCGGGUAACACCUCGUGGAGGUCCGAACCCACUAAUGUUGAAAAAUUAGGGGAUGAGCUGUGGGUAGGGGUGAAAGGCUAAACAAAUCUGGAAAUAGCUGGUUCUCUCCGAAAACUAUUUAGGUAGUGCCUCACGUAUCACCUUUGGGGGUAGAGCACUGUUAUGGCUAGGGGGUCAUUGAGACUUACCAAACCAUUGCAAACUCCGAAUACCAAAGAGUGCGAGCGUGGGAGACAGACAUCGGGUGCUAACGUCCGGUGUCGAAAGGGAAACAACCCAGACCCUCAGCUAAGGUCCCCAAGACACAGUUAAGUGGGAAACGAAGUGGGAAGGCAUAAACAGUCAGGAGGUUGGCUUAGAAGCAGCCAUCCUUUAAAGAAAGCGUAAUAGCUCACUGAUCGAGUCGUCCUGCGCGGAAGAUGUAACGGGGCUCAAACUGUGCACCGAAGCUAGGGAUUUACAUUUAUGUAAAUGGUAGGAGAGCGUUCCGUAGGCCUGUGAAGGUGGCUUGUAAAGGCUGCUGGAGGUAUCGGAAGUGCGAAUGCUGACAUGAGUAGCGAUAAAGGGAGUGAAAGACUCCCUCGCCGAAAACCCAAGGUUUCCUGUGCAACGCUAAUCGGCGCAGGGUGAGUCGGCCCCUAAGGUGAGGCAGAAAUGCGUAACUGAUGGGAAACUGGUUAAAAUUCCAGUACCUUUGUUCAAUGCGAUGUGGGGACGGAGAAGGUUAGCUCAGCCGGGUGUUGGAUGUCCCGGUUCAAGCGUGUAGGCGUGUUGCUUAGGCAAAUCCGAGCGACUAAGCUGAGACGUGAUAACGCAACGUUCUUAGGAACGCCAAGUGAGUGAUACCAUGCUUCCAGGAAAAGCCACUAAGCUUCAGUUGAAUGAAGACCGUACCGUAAACCGACACAGGUGGGUAGGAUGAGAAUUCUAAGGCGCUUGAGAGAACUCAGGAGAAGGAACUCGGCAAAAUAGCACCGUAACUUCGGGAAAAGGUGUGCCCUUUGUAUGUGUAGCGCCUCGCGCGUGAAGCAGAAUAGGGUUGCAAUGAAAUGGUGGCUGCGACUGUUUAAUAAAAACAUAGCACUCUGCAAACACGAAAGUGGACGUAUAGAGUGUGACGCCUGCCCGGUGCCGGAAGGUUAAAUGAUGGGGUGCAAGCUCUUGAUUGAAGCCCCGGUAAACGGCGGCCGUAACAAUAACGGUCCUAAGGUAGCGAAAUUCCUUGUCGGGUAAGUUCCGACCUGCACGAAUGGCGUAACGAUGGCCACACUGUCUCCUCCUGGGACUCGGCGAAGUUGAAAUGUUUGUGAAGAUGCAAUCUCCCCGCGGCUAGACGGAAAGACCCCGUGCACCUUUACUGUAGCUUUACAUUGGACUUUGAUAACAUUGGUGU